UACAGAGGGUGCGAGCGUUAAUCGGAUUUACUGGGCGUAAAGGGCGCGUAGGCGGUUGUAUGAGUGUGAUGUGAAAGCCCCGGGCUCAACCUGGGAAGUGCAUCGCAAACGAUACGACUAGAGUAUAUGAGAGGGUGGCGGAAUUUCCGGUGUAGCGGUGAAAUGCGUAGAGAUCGGAAGGAACGUCAAUGGCGAAGGCAGCCACCUGGCAUAAUACUGACGCUGAGGCGCGAAAGCGUGGGGAGCGAACAGGAUUAGAUA
This 261-nucleotide ribosomal RNA is filed under the name uncultured bacterium. RNAcentral describes it as "partial 16S ribosomal RNA". It matches the Rfam family "Bacterial small subunit ribosomal RNA", at positions 524 to 784 of the family's 1533-position model. The record is from RNAcentral.